UGGGGAAUAUUGGACAAUGGGCGCAAGCCUGAUCCAGCCAUGCCGCGUGAGUGAAGAAGGCCUUCGGGUUGUAAAGCUCUUUUGUUGGGGAAGAAAAGCAACCGGCCAAUACCCGGUUGUCCUGACGGUACCCAAAGAAUAAGCACCGGCUAACUUCGUGCCAGCAGCCGCGGUAAUACGAAGGGUGCAAGCGUUACUCGGAAUUACUGGGCGUAAAGCGUGCGUAGGUGGUUUGUUAAGUCUGAUGUGAAAGCCCUGGGCUCAACCUGGGAAUUGCAUUGGAUACUGGCAGGCUAGAGUGCGGUAGAGGAUGGCGGAAUUCCCGGUGUAGCAGUGAAAUGCGUAGAGAUCGGGAGGAACAUCCGUGGCGAAGGCGGCCAUCUGGACCAGCACUGACACUGAGGCACGAAAGCGUGGGGAGCAAACA
Molecule: ribosomal RNA, 427 nt
Filed under: uncultured Luteimonas sp.
Lineage: Bacteria; Pseudomonadati; Pseudomonadota; Gammaproteobacteria; Lysobacterales; Lysobacteraceae
Description: bacterial SSU rRNA
Rfam family: Bacterial small subunit ribosomal RNA
Source: RNAcentral